GACGAACGCUGGCGGCGUGCUUAACACAUGCAAGUCGAACGGAAAGGCCCUGCUUUUGUGGGGUGCUCGAGUGGCGAACGGGCGAGUAACACGUGAGUAACCUGCCCUUGACUUUGGGAUAACUUCAGGAAACUGGGGCUAAUACCGGAUAGGAGCUCCUGCUGCAUGGUGGGGGUUGGAAAGUUUCGGCGGUUGGGGAUGGACUCGCGGCUUAUCAGCUUGUUGGUGGGGUUGUGGCUUACCAAGGCUUUGACGGGUAGCCGGCCUGAGAGGGUGACCGGCCACAUUGGGACUGAGAUACGGCCCAGACUCCUACGGGAGGCAGCAGUGGGGAAUAUUGCACAAUGGGCGGAAGCCUGAUGCAGCAACGCCGCGUGCGGGAUGACGGCCUUCGGGUUGUAAACCGCUUUCGCCUGUGACGAAGCGUGAGUGACGGUAAUGGGUAAAGAAGCACCGGCUAACUACGUG
RNAcentral lists this ribosomal RNA (468 nucleotides) under uncultured bacterium. RNAcentral describes it as "partial 16S ribosomal RNA". It matches the Rfam family "Bacterial small subunit ribosomal RNA", at positions 28 to 507 of the family's 1533-position model. The record is from RNAcentral.